AGAAUAUUAUUUAAAUUAUUAGGUUGAUAUUAUUAAUUAAAAUAAUUUUAGUGAAUAUAAUUUAGUAUAGUUUAUAGAAUUUGUGAAGUGAAUGGUAGGGAAUAUGUACUGUGUAGGAAAUAUGAAAGAGAUGAAAUAGUUAUUGUAGAGAAAGAAGAAUAAUAUUCGUACCUUGGGUAUCAGGGUUUAUUAAUUAAUAGUAAUGAUUUAUAAUUCUCGAAUUGAAAAGAGUUAAAAUGGUAUGGUAGUUAAUGUGUUAUUAUUAUUAGUAAUAUUAUUUUAGUAAUGAAAUGUUAAACGUUUUUUAAGUUAUCUAGUUUUUUAAGAAAUGAAUUUAAUUCAGGUUAUUGGGAGUAAGGUUGAUUUUUUUGGUCAAUAUUUAUUUUCCUAUAAUAAAUAUAUAAGGGGAUAAGCUUUUGUGUAGGGACUAAAAAUUAUAGGAUUUAAAGAGAGUAGUAGGCUUUAAAUUAGCUAUCAAUGAAAUAGUGUUAUAAAUUGUUUUAAGUUGAAAUUAUUUUUUAAUAGUUUUAGUUUGUUUAUUGAAAUAUUAUAAUGAAUAAGUUGAUAUAAGUAAUAAUGAUGAAAUAAGUAUAUAAAAUUGUUUAUUAGAAUUUAUUGGGAAUUUAUAAUAAGGAACUAGGCAAAUUAUCACUCGCCUGUUUAUCAAAAACAUCUCUUUUUGUAAUUAUAAAAAGUUGGGCCUGCCCACUGAAGUAUUUAAAGGGCCGCGGUAUUAUGACCGUGCAAAGGUAGCAUAAUCAUUAGUCUUUUAAUUGAGGGCUGGAAUGAAUGGUUUGACGAAGUGAUAACUGUCUCAAUAUAAGAUAUAGAAGUUAAUUUUUAAGUUAAAAGGCUUAAAUAUUAGUAGAGGACGAGAAGACCCUAUAGAGCUUUAUAUAUAAAUUUAAAUUUGAAUUUAGGAGUUUAUGAUAAUUUGUGUUGAUUGUAUUAUGUUGGGGUGACAUAAAGAUAAAAUUAACUCUUUAUUUUUAGGACAUUGAUAUAUGUAUUUUUGAUCCAUUUUUAGUGAUUAUAAGAUUAAGUUACCUUAGGGAUAACAGCGUAAUUUUUCUUGAGAGUUCAUAUCAACAGAGAAGAUUGCGACCUCGAUGUUGGAUUAAGGAAUAUAAUUGGAUGCAGCAGUUUAAUUGGUAGGUCUGUUCGACCUUUAAAUCCUUACAUGAUCUGAGUUCAGACCGGUGUAAGCCAGGUCGGUUUCUAUCCUUAUUUAGUUUUUAUACUUUAGUACGAAAGGACCAAGUGUUUUAAAUAUUUUAUAUAUAUAUUUGAUUAUUAUUA
This 1299-nucleotide ribosomal RNA is filed under the name Leptophyes punctatissima. RNAcentral describes it as "16S ribosomal RNA". The stretch from base 869 to 1224 matches the Rfam family "Bacterial large subunit ribosomal RNA", at positions 2077 to 2643 of the family's 2925-position model. The record is from RNAcentral. Lineage: Eukaryota; Metazoa; Arthropoda; Insecta; Orthoptera; Tettigoniidae.